RNAcentral lists this long non-coding RNA (1347 nucleotides) under Numida meleagris (helmeted guineafowl). RNAcentral's name for it is "lncRNA (ENSNMEG00000016803.1)". The record is from RNAcentral. Lineage: Eukaryota; Metazoa; Chordata; Aves; Galliformes; Numididae.
GGGGAAAUAAAGCUCAGGCAAAAUAUCUGCAGCUCUGGGGGUACGUGCUCUUACAUUGUGGGUGCUUGUUUCUGCCAGCUCAGUUUCAGAGUUCAUGCAGUUACUGAGUUACAGCAGUAACAUGCACCAGCAGAGUUGCAGUGGUUGUUGAGGUGGGCUGCUGUAGCAAGUGGGAGAGGCUAAGACCCACCUGGAGACUGUUCUCUUGGCUCAGAGCUGACAGGCAUCAAAAUGAAAAAGUGCAUGAUUUGGACUACGGUAUCUGGGAAAGAAAUGAAUGUACAACUUUUUUGCAAUUUUGACAUCCAUGUUGCCUACUUCAAACUAGCACCUACUUUGAGAAACGCUGUGAAGAAAAGGACAAAAGGAAAGUCUGGAUGCUACCAAGGAAAUAUCUAUGAGGACUGCAUCCUCAGAAGAAUCUGCAAGGAGCCUUGGAUGUGUCCACAUCCUCAUCCUGACCCCUAGAAUCAAAAGGACCGUGCUGAUCCACUUGUUGCAAGCAAUUAUUUUAGCUGUGAAACUCUAUUGCUACCACGAGCAAGGUCUGUGAGAUGUUUUAACAUCGAUUUCCAUGUGCUACUGCUUUUCUAUAACAUGAGUGAAGUUGAACAGAAAUUAUAGGACUACAGAAUUUGAUGGGACGUAUGAAGUGAGAAUGAAUUUUCCUGCCUCCACUCAAAGCUUGACAGAUGCAGUUAGAUAAACCUAAUCUUAAAGGUUUUAUACCAAGUAAAAUGAAUGUUGUGUGAUAUGCGUGCCGAAACACUGUGUGUCUUGACAAAAUAUGAAGAAAAGACACUCUUUUCUAGCAGCAAAGAGGUCGCUAACUUGUGAGAGAGGAGGAGAAAUCCCUUGGUAUACAUAGAUUACAGGCAGUGGAAUUUUCUUUGAUCUAAACCAACGUCUGUAUCUGCAUUCCUCUAAAUUAAGUGAUACAGUUUGGUGCAUUUUCACUGAAAUGAUGCAAUACAAACAUGCCCAAGCUCCCUUCCCGGGCAGUACUGUGUUAGGGAAUGUUCCCAGCCUUUAUUUACAUAAUUAUCUUGAGCUAUCCAUAGCUUAGUAUCAAGUAUCAGGAAAAAUUUCUUUGAUGAAUGAAAGCAAGGAAUCUAUGUGCUGGAAAAUGAGUUUUUUCACUUUUGUUUCUAUGAAAGGUUUCCAACCUCACUGUCAUUUGUCACUGCAUCAUUGUACUCAAUGUAUGGACACGUAUCAAGGUUAUUUAAAAUGAUCUGUAUGUUUUGUGCUUGUGUAGGAUUGUUAGUGUAGCUUUUUCUCUGUUUAGAGCUGCAAUUUCAUAUUCCAUUACAUUUACUUUGCAGUGCAAUAAAGUAGAUUUUCCUG